Molecule: non-coding RNA, 92 nt
Organism: Pelobates cultripes (western spadefoot toad)
Lineage: Eukaryota; Metazoa; Chordata; Amphibia; Anura; Pelobatidae
Source: the annotation of a GenBank genome assembly
CUCCAGCAGACCCUCCCUCCCAGACCCUCCUACUUUAAAACAUGGAUGCUGUCCAGGAAGUAGGAGGGUCUGGGAGGGAGGGUCUGCUGGAG